This 455-nucleotide ribosomal RNA is filed under the name uncultured bacterium. RNAcentral describes it as "bacterial SSU rRNA". It matches the Rfam family "Bacterial small subunit ribosomal RNA", at positions 29 to 520 of the family's 1533-position model. The record is from RNAcentral.
AACGAACGCUGGCGGCAUGCCUAACACAUGCAAGUCGAACGGGAUCCUGGUUUCGGCCAGGUGAGAGUGGCGGACGGGUGAGUAACGCGUGGGAACCUGCCCAGUGGUGGGGGAUAACUGCGGGAAACUGCAGCUAAUACCGCAUGAGCCCGAAAGGGGAAAGAUUGAUCGCCAUUGGAGGGGCCCGCGUUCGAUUAGGUAGUUGGUGAGGUAACGGCUCACCAAGCCUUCGAUCGANAGCUGGUCUGAGAGGAUGAUCAGCCACACUGGGACUGAGAUACGGCCCAGACUCCUACGGGAGGCAGCAGUGGGGAAUAUUGGACAAUGGGCGCAAGCCUGAUCCAGCCAUGCCGCGUGGAUGAUGAAGGCCUUAGGGUUGUAAAAUCUUUCGUUGGGGACGAUAAUGACGGUACCCAAAGAAGAAGCUCCGGCUAACUUCGUGCCAGCAGCCGCCG